CCUACGGGUGGCAGCAGUCGAGAAUUUUUCACAAUGGGGGAAACCCUGAUGGAGCGACGCCGCGUGGAGGAUGAAGGUUUUCGGAUUGUAAACUCCUGUCACUGCAGAGCUAGUAUGCAGGGAGGAAGGGACGGCUAACUCUGUGCCAGCAGCCGCGGUAAUACAGAGGUCCCGAGCGUUGUUCGGAUUUACUGGGCGUAAAGGGUGUGUAGGAGGCUAGGUAAGUCAGUUGUGAAAUCCCGUUGCUUAACAACGGAACUGCAAUCGAUACUGCAUGGCUAGAGGAUGGGAGGGGGAAGCGGAAUUCUUGGUGUAGCGGUGAAAUGCGUAGAUAUCAAGAGGAACACCGGUGGCGAAGGCGGCUUCCUGGAGUUCCUGACUCUGAAACACGAAAGCCAGGGGAGCGAACGGGAUUAGAUACCCCAGUAGUC
This 431-nucleotide ribosomal RNA is filed under the name uncultured bacterium. RNAcentral's name for it is "partial 16S ribosomal RNA". It matches the Rfam family "Bacterial small subunit ribosomal RNA", at positions 338 to 795 of the family's 1533-position model. The record is from RNAcentral.